AACUAGUUCUGCUGCUAAAUGAGCGUAAUCAUAUUAAUUAGGGCUGUGUAAGCACACCUGUGCAGAGAACCGCGGCUCCCACAGUCCCUCCAGUGCACACAGGUGCUCUUCCCCUGUGGUUCCUGUCAAAUUCUUCAGCUCCUGAGACAGGAGAUCUCACACUCUUCACACGCGGCCCAUCUGUCAGCCGCAGCUCCAUGAUGAGCUCUGUUUCUUCAGGGAGACGGGCUGCUAAAAGCUUUUCAACACCAACAUCUCACCCUGAUCCCACAGAAAUCAAAGAGAGCAAAUCUCUCCUGUCGAAACGCAGUGGAUGUGAAGGAAGGAAGAGUGAGACUGUAGCUGAUCAAAGCAGAGUUAAUCACGUCCGAUCACAACAUGAGCAUGUGUGUUCAUAACUGCUUAUGAUCAUAUGCAGAUAUUACUACAGCAAACAAAUCUGCCUUGACUGAACAAGAGUAAUGUCAGGUUUUCAUAUCUGUUGCAUUUCUGAGCUCAUGCAUAAUAAAUAAACACAAGAAACAGAUACAGCUGAGAAUGCUGAACUCCCAAUUAAACUAGUUUUACAUGUUGGCAUGUAAUUGCUCAGAUUUUUUAAAAUGGUUUUUAGUGUGUUUCUAUGGCACUGCUAGACAGUCCAAUUAGUCUAGUAUCAGUCUAAUCUGGUACUCGUAUCAGUAAAGUAAUGCCGCAAUAAACUAAAGAAAUGAUUAAUAUGUAAGUCUGCUUUAAAAAAUUACACAUUUGAACACAGCCAGAAUGUGCAUGCAUUACGAGACAUGUUCAAAUUCUUACUCUUUUUAACAAGGGUAUAAUUGUGUCUUUACGUGGACUAAAGGAACACGGUAAAAACUGACAUCUUAACAAGGCCAGAAUGUGUUUGUCUAGGUGGUAUACAUGGUCAAAUUUGACAUAUUCUGUUUAAAGACGUUUGCCCCCGUCUGCCUUCCAUAUGGUCAUUCCCUCUAGUAAUAUUUAUUAUAAAG
This is a long non-coding RNA of Cyprinus carpio carpio, 986 nucleotides long. Lineage: Eukaryota; Metazoa; Chordata; Actinopteri; Cypriniformes; Cyprinidae. The record is from Ensembl.